GGUUAAGCGACUAAGCGUACACGGUGGAUGCCCUGGCAGUCAGAGGCGAUGAAGGACGUGCUAAUCUGCGAAAAGCGUCGGUAAGGUGAUAUGAACCGUUAUAACCGGCGAUGUCCGAAUGGGGAAACCCAGUGCAAUUCGUUGCACUAUCGUUAACUGAAUACAUAGGUUAACGAGGCGAACCGGGGGAACUGAAACAUCUAAGUACCCCGAGGAAAAGAAAUCAACCGAGAUUCCCCCAGUAGCGGCGAGCGAACGGGGAGCAGCCCAGAGUCUGAAUCAGCUUGUGUGUUAGUGGAACGGUCUGGAAAGUCCGACGGUACAGGGUGAUAGUCCCGUACACCAAAAUGCACAGGCUGUGAACUCGAAGAGUAGGGCGGGACACGUGGUAUCCUGUCUGAAUAUGGGGGGACCAUCCUCCAAGGCUAAAUACUCCUGACUGACCGAUAGUGAACCAGUACCGUGAGGGAAAGGCGAAAAGAACCCCGGCGAGGGGAGUGAAAAAGAACCUGAAACCGUGUACGUACAAGCAGUGGGAGCACCUUCGGGUGUGACUGCGUACCUUUUGUAUAAUGGGUCAGCGACUUAUAUUCUGUAGCAAGGUUAACCGUAUAGGGGAGCCGCAGGGAAACCGAGUCUUAACUGGGCGUUAAGUUGCAGGGUAUAGACCCGAAACCCGGUGAUCUAGCCAUGGGCAGGUUGAAGGUUGGGUAACACUAACUGGAGGACCGAACCGACUAAUGUUGAAAAAUUAGCGGAUGACUUGUGGCUGGGGGUGAAAGGCCAAUCAAACCGGGAGAUAGCUGGUUCUCCCCGAAAGCUAUUUAGGUAGCGCCUCGUGAAUUCAUCUUCGGGGGUAGAGCACUGUUUCGGCUAGGGGGUCAUCCCGACUUACCAACCCGAUGCAAACUACGAAUACCGAAGAAUGUUAUCACGGGAGACACACGGCGGGUGCUAACGUCCGUCGUGAAGAGGGAAACAACCCAGACCGCCAGCUAAGGUCCCAAAGUCAUGGUUAAGUGGGAAACGAUGUGGGAAGGCACAGACAGCCAGGAUGUUGGCUUAGAAGCAGCCAUCAUUUAAAGAAAGCGUAAUAGCUCACUGGUCGAGUCGGCCUGCGCGGAAGAUGUAACGGGGCUAAACCAUGCACCGAAGCUGCGGCAGCGACACUAUGUGUUGUUGGGUAGGGGAGCGUUCUGUAAGCCUGCGAAGGUGUGCUGUGAGGCAUGCUGGAGGUAUCAGAAGUGCGAAUGCUGACAUAAGUAACGAUAAAGCGGGUGAAAAGCCCGCUCGCCGGAAGACCAAGGGUUCCUGUCCAACGUUAAUCGGGGCAGGGUGAGUCGACCCCUAAGGCGAGGCCGAAAGGCGUAGUCGAUGGGAAACAGGUUAAUAUUCCUGUACUUGGUGUUACUGCGAAGGGGGACGGAGAAGGCUAUGUUAGCCGGGCGACGGUUGUCCCGGUUUAAGCAUGUAGGCUGGUUGUCCAGGCAAAUCCGGAUAAUCAAGGCUGAGGUGUGAUGACGAGGCACUACGGUGCUGAAGUAACAAAUGCCCUGCUUCCAGGAAAAGCCUCUAAGCAUCAGGUAACAUCAAAUCGUACCCCAAACCGACACAGGUGGUCAGGUAGAGAAUACCAAGGCGCUUGAGAGAACUCGGGUGAAGGAACUAGGCAAAAUGGUGCCGUAACUUCGGGAGAAGGCACGCUGGUGUGUAGGUGAAGCCCCUGCGGGUGGAGCUGAGACCAGUCGAAGAUACCAGCUGGCUGCAACUGUUUAUUAAAAACACAGCACUGUGCAAACACGAAAGUGGACGUAUACGGUGUGACGCCUGCCCGGUGCCGGAAGGUUAAUUGAUGGGGUUAUCCGUAAGGAGAAGCUCUUGAUCGAAGCCCCGGUAAACGGCGGCCGUAACUAUAACGGUCCUAAGGUAGCGAAAUUCCUUGUCGGGUAAGUUCCGACCUGCACGAAUGGCGUAAUGAUGGCCAGGCUGUCUCCACCCGAGACUCAGUGAAAUUGAACUCGCUGUGAAGAUGCAGUGUACCCGCGGCAAGACGGAAAGACCCCGUGAACCUUUACUAUAGCUUGACACUGAACAUUGAGCCUUGAUGUGUAGGAUAGGUGGGAGGCUUUGAAGCGUGGACGCCAGUCUGCGUGGAGCCAACCUUGAAAUACCACCCUUUAAUGUUUGAUGUUCUAACGUUGGCCCCUGACCGGGGUUGCGGACAGUGUCUGGUGGGUAGUUUGACUGGGGCGGUCUCCUCCCAAAGCGUAACGGAGGAGCACGAAGGUUAGCUAAUCCUGGUCGGACAUCAGGAGGUUAGUGCAAUGGCAUAAGCUAGCUUGACUGCGAGCGUGACGGCGCGAGCAGGUGCGAAAGCAGGUCAUAGUGAUCCGGUGGUUCUGAAUGGAAGGGCCAUCGCUCAACGGAUAAAAGGUACUCCGGGGAUAACAGGCUGAUACCGCCCAAGAGUUCAUAUCGACGGCGGUGUUUGGCACCUCGAUGUCGGCUCAUCACAUCCUGGGGCUGAAGUAGGUCCCAAGGGUAUGGCUGUUCGCCAUUUAAAGUGGUACGCGAGCUGGGUUUAGAACGUCGUGAGACAGUUCGGUCCCUAUCUGCCGUGGGCGCUGGAGAAUUGAGGGGGCUGCUCCUAGUACGAGAGGACCGGAGUGGACGCAUCACUGGUGUUCGGGUUGUCAUGCCAAUGGCACUGCCCGGUAGCUAAAUGCGGAAGAGAUAAGUGCUGAAAGCAUCUAAGCACGAAACUUGCCCCGAGAUGAGUUCUCCCUGAGACUUUAAGUCUCCUGAAGGAACGUUAAAGACGAUGACGUUGAUAGGCCGGGUGUGUAAGCGCAGCGAUGCGUUGAGCUAACCGGUACUAAUGAACCGUGAGGCUUAACCUU
RNAcentral lists this ribosomal RNA (2900 nucleotides) under Klebsiella pneumoniae. Its description in RNAcentral is "23S ribosomal RNA". It matches the Rfam family "Bacterial large subunit ribosomal RNA". The record is from RNAcentral. Lineage: Bacteria; Pseudomonadati; Pseudomonadota; Gammaproteobacteria; Enterobacterales; Enterobacteriaceae.